RNAcentral lists this ribosomal RNA (459 nucleotides) under uncultured bacterium. RNAcentral describes it as "partial 16S ribosomal RNA". It matches the Rfam family "Bacterial small subunit ribosomal RNA", at positions 338 to 795 of the family's 1533-position model. The record is from RNAcentral.
CCUACGGGGGGCUGCAGUGAGGAAUAUUGGUCAAUGGCCGGAAGGCUGAACCAGCCAAGCCGCGUGAAGGACGAAGGUGCCAAGCAUUGUAAACUUCUUUUGUCAAGGGACAAAAUCAGGCUCGAGAGCCUGACCGAGGGUACUUGAAGAAAAAGCAUCGGCUAACUCCGUGCCAGCAGCCGCGGUAAUACGGAGGAUGCGAGCGUUAUCCGGAUUUAUUGGGUUUAAAGGGUGCGUAGGCGGACUGUUAAGUCAGCGGUAAAAGCCCGGGGCUCAACCCCGGCGAGCCGUUGAAACUGGCUGUCGUGAGGUUUCGAGAGGUAUGCGGAAUGCGCAGUGUAGCGGUGAAAUGCUUAGAUAUUGCGCAGAACUCCGAUUGCGAAGGCAGCAUACCGGCGGCGAUCUGACGCUGAGGCACGAAAGCGUGGGUAUCGAACAGGAUUAGAUACCCGUGUAGUC